AACCUGCAUGGGGGAAGGUUAGGCGGAAAAGAGGAAUUUACAGAGUAUUAGCAGAAAUUAGCCAAUACCGACACAAGCUCAAUUAGUUUUUUUUUUUUUUUUUUUUUUUUUUUUUUUUGGGUCUCUGUUGGCUGUUCUUGAACGUGAGUAAACGCUGUGCAGAGAGGGAGAGCCACAGCACACUGCCAUCUCCGAGCCGCAGCCAGGAGAUGGACUGACAGAUUGCAAAUUAAAAUAGUCCUAAUGUAAGAAUUAAUGCAGCCCCCCAAAUCUCUAAGAACACGAGCCCUUUAGUAACGAGCCCGGCGCUGAAGGAGCGUUGCUGCUGCCUGGGCUGGUUCUGCGUUAUGGAGAGAGGCUAGGGAGGGACAAUAAAGCAAGUCACGGGCAGAGAAAAUCACAAGGUGGAGUUGAAUACUAUGCCUGCAUUUGUGGUUAGCUGCAAGCAAUGCAUUAUGAAGAUGAUGGUAUUCAGCCACACACUCAAACAAUUUGAUUCAGACAAGAUUUUGACCGGUGUGUGAAGAACAGGUGGUUUGAACAAUGGAGAUCUGUGAUGUCCCAGCUUUUUGGAAACUUUUAUGCUCAAGCCAAGAGGUUACUAUAGAUGGAGCUAAUCUGCACUGGUGGUGUGCUCCAGCUGUGGCUGGGCCAAGCUGGGCCACGGAGAGCCCAUGGGAUCUGCUGAAGGAACCACCAAGAUCUGCUGUGGGAGCACACGACUACGAGUGGCCCAGCUAUCGAGUGCCUGAGAAUAAGUGGUUUCUUCCACAGGAAAUGACCAGGUAUGUGUUAAAGAGAGCUGAAGAAAAGAGGAAGAACAUGGCUGUAUUGUGAGACUGAGCAGUUUGUGAAAAUUUUCCAUUUCAGCUCGUAYAAACGUGCAUGCCUUUUAGAGAUAGUAAUAAGCAUUUGAGUGUGAAUCUUGCUAAAUAUUAUGAGAUGCCCAGAUGUUGUGGCAACGGAUAACACAUACAAAUACUUAUCACAACAUAUAAAUAAGCAAACAAAAACAAUUACUAAAGGCACUUAAAUGUUAAGCGCUCUGUAUCAUCUUCUCAUCACCAAUUUUUUGCAGUGCUUUAGGUAUAACUGCUCACCCAGGAACAAACAGCAGAAAGAUACUGAUAGUUCUUUAAAAUAACAUAAAUCCUAUGAGCUGGAGUCUAGUCCCACUGAAAUUACUUUGGGUUUUGCCAUUGGUUUCAAUAGAAUGAGGCUAGGACUUUGUAUUUUCCAAAUCAGGGGCAUAUCAUUCAUCCUCAUUGUGGCAGACAUGUUAUAACAUUAACACAGUGAAGGGGCUCACCAUACAAGUUACAUCAAUAUGCAGUUUAAAUAUGUUUAGUGUAAUGUUUAUAUCUUUUUUAUUCACUUUUAUGCGAGCCUAAUACAGCCAGCCUCAUAAAGCUCACUCUUGCACCAGAUUAAAGUGGUGUCUUUGUAACGUUUACUGGUUGCUCAUAAAUCACGGUGGCACUUUGUUACUGUCCACAAGCAGUUUUUUGUGCUAAAGGUUUCAAUCAUUAAGAUGUACAGUAUUAUCUCAGGCAUAGUUUUAGUCCUGGAGAAAUUAUGCUGAGAGAUGCUUUUGUAUGUAUGGCAUUUGUAGAAAAUAGUGUGCCUACGUUUGAAAGCUGAUACAUAUGAUACCAUUAGCUGCUGCAUUAACAAGCACUUUAACUAAAUAUACAGAAAAUUCUCUUGUGUAUUUAUGCCGUGCAGUAAAAGUACUUAUCACACCAGUUUGCAAAUACCCAGUGUUUACCUUAGAUGUCUAUUUCAUCUCAAUUUAAGGUUUUCUGGGCUUUGAACACUUAGAUUUCAGGUACAAAUC
This is a long non-coding RNA of Dromaius novaehollandiae (emu), 1837 nucleotides long. Lineage: Eukaryota; Metazoa; Chordata; Aves; Casuariiformes; Dromaiidae. The record is from Ensembl.